UUCCCUUGAGAACCGUGGAAGACCACCACGUUGAUAGGCCGGAUGUGGAAGUGCAGUAAUGCAUGUAGCUUACCGGUACUAAUCGUUCGAUUGGCUUGAUUGC
This 103-nucleotide ribosomal RNA is filed under the name Bradyrhizobium shewense. RNAcentral describes it as "23S rRNA. Bacterial LSU". It matches the Rfam family "Bacterial large subunit ribosomal RNA", at positions 2823 to 2925 of the family's 2925-position model. Lineage: Bacteria; Pseudomonadati; Pseudomonadota; Alphaproteobacteria; Hyphomicrobiales; Nitrobacteraceae. The record is from RNAcentral.